AUGGCAGUGUUUGCAGCAGCCUGUGUGGUCUGCCCUCGUGGCCUUAGCAGCCCGUCUGGAGAACUGGCAGGAGCGAGCUGCCCUGGAGAUCUCAGUCCCCAGGCAGGCUCUGUAACAGGCCCACCAAGGAGUCAUGGGGCUGCUACACAGCUGCAGUGAGCAGGCCAGCUCAGGGAGAUCUGCUAUGUGUCACUAUGCCUCUGUAUUUCACAUCCCUUUUAUGAGUUUGCCAGAGGCAGCAGAAGCCAUAGAGGACCUUUCUCCAAGGCAGAGAAUGCAGAUGAUCCCACUCUGAAGAGAGACGAUGCAAAGCACAAAGGUUUCAGCGUACCCACAUGGUACCACAUGGAGCUUUGGGAGGCACAGUGCUCUCACUCUGUAAUAAUGCUGAUUGAUUGCCACAGCGUUAUGGAUCCCAGCUCAUCUGGAACCCAUGAGAAACUCCUUUUCAUACUAAACACUGACUUCUCAAAAAAGUUCAAGUGCUUCAUAAGCGUAAAUUGAUUCAGCCUAACAGUGUUUCUAUGACGUGGGAAAAUCUGUGAUGCUUAACUGACACCACUUACUUGACUUGCUAAAACUGCAAACUGAAUCAGUAAUAGAGAUAAGAACCGAACUCAGGAUCCUUAUUUUUGACCGCCUCGCUCCAUACAGUAAAUGCAGACAAGGCAAACUCCCAGUACUCAACAGAACAAGUUACUGGACUGUGGCCAGAGCACCUCUGUAUAAUAGUGCAAAAGCAAUUCCUUUUGUGAAUUCCUCCAACCCCUUCAAAACUAGCUUUAAAGAGGGGGAAAUGCUCUAAAAACUGUCUUAUAAAUAUACCACAGCUUCUCUUCUGCUCUUUUAAAUUUAUUUUUUUCCAUAACCAUGGAUGGCAUUAUUUAAUAACAUUCAGAUACUGGGAAUCUGACAUGGGUGGCUAAGUUAGCUGACUAGUCUUUAGGUUCCCUCUAUAGUCCAUAGGCAGGUGUGCAUCUAGGAGGUUCUUCCAGAGAAUGAUUCAGAGCAGAAAUCUAAGUCAGGUGCUCAGAAUUGAGCUGACCGAGUGCCUAAAGUCUUGACAGCGUCUUGUUCCCUGACUGCAACAGGUAGAGCUGGGAUUCAUCUGCCGGUACAAUAUAGAAGAAGUUUAAUACCUAUGGCAGAGAAAAGAUCGAGAGGUGAUGAUCCUUUUUAUGAUAUGCUUGUAGAUCUCGGAGGGCUCUAAGCAGUAGUACCCGAAGUAUUGUGGAACUGAAGAAAGAAAGAAAGAGAAUAAAUGUAUAGUGGAGAAAUCUGUGUUCUGGGCA
RNAcentral lists this long non-coding RNA (1292 nucleotides) under Struthio camelus australis. Its description in RNAcentral is "lncRNA (ENSSCUG00000013671.1)". The record is from RNAcentral. Lineage: Eukaryota; Metazoa; Chordata; Aves; Struthioniformes; Struthionidae.